CUCUAACCCCGAUAGGAACGGCAUCCUUUUUUAUUGCGGCUGGAGCAAAGCGGAAGCCGUAAUAAAAAAGAUGCAGCACUUCGACAGGCUCAGCA
This 95-nucleotide small RNA is filed under the name Chryseobacterium wanjuense. RNAcentral's name for it is "Flavo-1 RNA". The record is from RNAcentral. Lineage: Bacteria; Pseudomonadati; Bacteroidota; Flavobacteriia; Flavobacteriales; Weeksellaceae.